CACCCUGCCAGAAAUCAGUUGUAAAAGACGGCAUGGCAGCCUAGAGGAAGGUAAUCCUGGCCAGCUGUUUCCAUCUGAAGCCAACCACAUCAGUAGCACAGCUAGCACUAACAUGCAUCAAUUAAGAAGAUACCUGAGAAGCUGUAAAGAGGAAUUCUGAUACUAAGUGAAACCUCAGGUCAGAACUUAAUGUAAAAUAAAAUGAAGCAAGAAAAAUAUGAUCUUUGCGACCAAACACAGUUGCUAUGUUGAACCAUUCUAAGAUCACAUUAGCUAAUAUUACUUCAAGCAGCUUUCAGUGGCAAUACCAAAAGUGUGACAACGAAAGAAAAACAGAAAACAAAGCCCGGACUUUAACACUUGCAUGCCAAGAAGUCCUUCCACUCAAGCCAAAAGGAGAUGUGUGCCCACCACAUUAAUAUCCAAACAUCUAGCUCUACCUCAUUUUUUCUUUUUUUCAUCCCAUGGACAUCGAACACUAAACAUGAGUUUCUCCUCAUUCUGUUGAUGGUGAAAAAAUGCCAACCAAAAUAUGCCUCAUCUUAAAGCUGGAACUCCUACCUAAAGUAACAACAUCACCGCUUUCUUCAACAGGAACAGUGCUGGGCAUAAAUACAGUGAUCAGUCUUUCACGCUCCAUGAUAGCAAUUCAGUCCAUACAAGUCACCUAACAAGCCAUGCUGCUGAAAGGGAAUCCCAAACAACUGAACAGCUGCAGAGAGGAAAUAAAUGGUGUAAAU
Alligator mississippiensis (American alligator) is the source of this 740-nucleotide long non-coding RNA. RefSeq lists it as uncharacterized. NCBI's taxonomy places the organism in Eukaryota, Metazoa, Chordata, Crocodylia, Alligatoridae. The transcript is spliced from 4 exons. The record is from RefSeq and is a predicted model, not a curated record.